Molecule: ribosomal RNA, 744 nt
Filed under: fungal sp.
Lineage: Eukaryota; Fungi
Description: eukaryotic LSU rRNA
Rfam family: Eukaryotic large subunit ribosomal RNA (bases 486-744)
Source: RNAcentral
CGGAGGGAUCAUUACCGAGUUUACAACUCCCAAACCCCUGUGAACAUACCAAUUGUUGCCUCGGCGGAUCAGCCCGCUCCCGGUAAAACGGGACGGCCCGCCAGAGGACCCCUAAACUCUGUUUCUAUAUGUAACUUCUGAGUAAAACCAUAAAUAAAUCAAAACUUUCAACAACGGAUCUCUUGGUUCUGGCAUCGAUGAAGAACGCAGCAAAAUGCGAUAAGUAAUGUGAAUUGCAGAAUUCAGUGAAUCAUCGAAUCUUUGAACGCACAUUGCGCCCGCCAGUAUUCUGGCGGGCAUGCCUGUUCGAGCGUCAUUUCAACCCUCAAGCCCCCGGGUUUGGUGUUGGGGAUCGGCGAGCCCUUGCGGCAAGCCGGCCCCGAAAUCUAGUGGCGGUCUCGCUGCAGCUUCCAUUGCGUAGUAGUAAAACCCUCGCAACUGGUACGCGGCGCGGCCAAGCCGUUAAACCCCCAACUUCUGAAUGUUGACCUCGGAUCAGGUAGGAAUACCCGCUGAACUUAAGCAUAUCAAUAAGCGGAGGAAAAGAAACCAACAGGGAUUGCCCUAGUAACGGCGAGUGAAGCGGCAACAGCUCAAAUUUGAAAUCUGGCUCUCGGGCCCGAGUUGUAAUUUGUAGAGGAUACUUUUGAUGCGGUGCCUUCCGAGUUCCCUGGAACGGGACGCCAUAGAGGGUGAGAGCCCCGUCUGGUUGGAUGCCAAAUCUCUGUAAAGUUCCUUCGACGA